RNAcentral lists this ribosomal RNA (292 nucleotides) under uncultured bacterium. RNAcentral describes it as "partial 16S ribosomal RNA". It matches the Rfam family "Bacterial small subunit ribosomal RNA", at positions 505 to 796 of the family's 1533-position model. The record is from RNAcentral.
GUGCCAGCAGCCGCGGUAAUACAGAGGGGGCAAGCGUUGUCCGGAUUUACUGGGCGUACAGCGCGCGCAGGCGGUUGCGUAUGUGAGCGGUGACAUCCGCGGGCUCAACCCGCGGCGGCCCGCUUACACAGCGCGACUGGAGGCAGGGAGAGGGAUGUGGAAUACCCGGUGGAGCGGUGAAAUGCGUAGAGAUCGGGUGGAACACCAGCGGCGAAGGCGGCAUCCUGGCCCUGUACUGACGCUGAGGCGCGAUAGCGUGGGGAGCAAACGGGAUUAGAUACCCCUGUAGUCC